RNAcentral lists this ribosomal RNA (468 nucleotides) under uncultured bacterium. RNAcentral describes it as "partial 16S ribosomal RNA". It matches the Rfam family "Bacterial small subunit ribosomal RNA", at positions 28 to 507 of the family's 1533-position model. The record is from RNAcentral.
GACGAACGCUGGCGGCGUGCUUAACACAUGCAAGUCGAACGGAAAGGCCCUGCUUUUGUGGGGUGCUCGAGUGGCGAACGGGUGAGUAACACGUGAGUAACCUGCCCUUGACUUUGGGAUAACUUCAGGAAACUGGGGCUAAUACCGGAUAGGAGCUCCUGCUGCAUGGUGGGGGUUGGAAAGUUUCGGCGGUUGGGGCUGGACUCGCGGCUUAUCAGCUUGUUGGUGGGGUAGUGGCUUACAAAGGCUUUGACGGGUAGCCGGCCUGAGAGGGUGACCGGCCACAAUGGGACUGAGAUACGGCCCAGACUCCUACGGGAGGCAGCAGUGGGGAAUAUUGCACAAUGGGCGGAAGCCUGAUGCAGCAACGCCGCGUGCGGGAUGACGGCCUUCGGGGUGUAAACCGCUUUCGCCUGUGACGAAGCGUGAGUGACGGUAAUGGGUAAAGAAGCACCGGCUAACUACGUG